This 430-nucleotide ribosomal RNA is filed under the name bacterium. RNAcentral describes it as "partial 16S ribosomal RNA". It matches the Rfam family "Bacterial small subunit ribosomal RNA", at positions 355 to 776 of the family's 1533-position model. The record is from RNAcentral.
UGGGGAAUAUUGGACAAUGGGCGGAAGCCUGAUCCAGCCAUGCCGCGUGUGUGAAGAAGGCCUUUUGGUUGUAAAGCACUUUAAGCGAGGAGGAGGCUACUUGGAUUAAAACUCUAGGAUAGUGGACGUUACUCGCAGAAUAAGCACCGGCUAACUCUGUGCCAGCAGCCGCGGUAAUACAGAGGGUGCGAGCGUUAAUCGGAUUUACUGGGCGUAAAGCGUGCGUAGGCGGCUUCUUAAGUCGGAUGUGAAAUCCCUGAGCUUAACUUAGGAAUUGCAUUCGAUACUGGGAAGCUAGAGUAUGGGAGAGGAUGGUAGAAUUCCAGGUGUAGCGGUGAAAUGCGUAGAGAUCUGGAGGAAUACCGAUGGCGAAGGCAGCCAUCUGGCCUAAUACUGACGCUGAGGUACGAAAGCAUGGGGAGCAAACAGG